Molecule: unclassified non-coding RNA, 330 nt
Filed under: soil metagenome
Description: partial contains 5.8S ribosomal RNA, internal transcribed spacer 2, and large subunit ribosomal RNA
Rfam family: 5.8S ribosomal RNA (bases 1-120)
Source: RNAcentral
GAUGAAGAACGCAGCGAAAUGCGAUAAGUAAUGUGAAUUGCAGAAUUCAGUGAAUCAUCGAAUCUUUGAACGCACAUUGCGCCCUCUGGUAUUCCGGGGGGCAUGCCUGUUCGAGCGUCAUUAUAACCACUCAAGCUCUCGCUUGGUAUUGGGGUUCGCGGUUUCGCGGCCCCUAAAAUCAGUGGCGGUGCCUGUCGGCUCUACGCGUAGUAAUACUCCUCGCGAUUGAGUCCGGUAGGUCUACUUGCCAGCAACCCCUAAUUUUUUUUAAGGUUGACCUCGGAUCAGGUAGGGAUACCCGCUGAACUUAAGCAUAUCAAUAACGGAGGA